Molecule: long non-coding RNA, 631 nt
Organism: Empidonax traillii (willow flycatcher)
Lineage: Eukaryota; Metazoa; Chordata; Aves; Passeriformes; Tyrannidae
Exons: 3
Source: RefSeq, a predicted model, not a curated record
AUUCAUAUCGCUCGUGAGGCUGAAGAAGGGAACUGAACCAAGGACAGCAAUCCACAAUUUAACACUCUCUUACUAGAUCAGGAGGGGCCUCUUUGGGAGACAUAUGCCAGGAGCUUGUUUGCAAGUUAAACAGAUUCUAAUGCCCAGGGCUGGGUGUAAGGACUGCUAAGAACACAGUCACUAAGCUGCCAGCUUUGGGUCGCCUUUGGUGAUCUAGAUGGACACCCCUGACUCUCUAAAACCCCUGAGAUUCCAGACAGUGAGGAGGCUUCAUGUAUUUAUCCAUUCCCAUCACAACAACAGCCAAUUGACUGUAGAGUUACAGGCUCAAGGAAUGACACAGGCAGAACUAAUCAUAAUUUGGGGCCUGAAGAUAGGUUAAACUACCUCUGGGGGGCUCCACACUUUAUCAUUUCUUGCCUUAUCCUCCCAAGUAAAAAUUAAGAAAUAUAUUCCAAAAACCAGAAAAGUCAAUUGAAAAUUAGGUUUUAUGGGAAACUGAAUAAGUCAGAAAUUUGGUCAACAUCCAGAAUAAUUUCUGGAAUAUAAGGGAGAAAAGGGUUUUGAAAAUAAAGAAAAUGGAUAGAUUUAUCCUUUUUUUCAAAAUGGCAUGUUUUUUCUUUUAAACUGA